Molecule: ribosomal RNA, 162 nt
Filed under: Glaucomaria carpinea
Lineage: Eukaryota; Fungi; Ascomycota; Lecanoromycetes; Lecanorales; Lecanoraceae
Description: Lecanora carpinea 5.8S ribosomal RNA
Rfam family: 5.8S ribosomal RNA
About the family: 5.8S ribosomal RNA (5.8S rRNA) is a component of the large subunit of the eukaryotic ribosome.
Source: RNAcentral
AAAACUUUCAACAACGGAUCUCUUGGUUCUGGCAUCGAUUGAAGAACGCAGCGAAAUGCCGAUAAGUAAUGUGAAUUGCAGAAUUCAGUGAAUCAUCGAAUCUUUGAACGCACAUUGCGCCCCUCGGUAUUCCGGGGGGCAUGCCUGUUCGAGCGUCAUUAC